GGGGUCUGUCCCCUGGGCCCCCUGCCCCUGCCCAAGGAGCAGCUCUACCAGCAGGCGCUGCAGGAGCCCGCCUGGCACCACAUGCCGCACCCCUCCGACUCCGAGAGGAUCAGGGCACGAAGGCGCAGUACCUGGCGGCCAAGGCCCUCAAGAAGCAAUCCUGGCGCUUCCACACCAAGUACAUGAUGUGGUUCCAGCGGCACGAGGAGCCCAAAACCAUCACGGACGAGUUCGAGCAGGGCACUUACAUCUACUUCGACUACGAGAAGUGGGGGCAGCGCAAGAAGGAAGGCUUCACCUUCGAGUAUCGUUACCUGGAGGACCGAGACCUGCAGUGAGGGGACCCAAAAUCCCCCAAAAUCAACCCAAAAAUCCCCCCCAAACCCCCUGCAUGCUUUUUGGGGGGGGGGUCAGAACCAGCUUCACCCCAAAUUUCCCCCUCUCGGUGCUGCCGAAUUUUUGGGGGGGUUAAGGGUUGAAAAACCACCGAAAAACCACCAAAAAACCACCAAAAAAAGGAAAUUUUGGGGGGAUUUUUUGGGUUUUUUUGGGGUUUUUUUGGGGUCCCCCCCCUGGGGGUUUUUUUUUUUUCUCUUCCCCCCCACCACCACCCUCAGCAGUUGAUAUUUUUUCGUAAAGUUAUUUUCAUUUUUGGAAAAUAUUUAUGAAUAAAUAGUUUUAUAUCAGAGCUCGUCGUUGGGGG
Molecule: long non-coding RNA, 703 nt
Filed under: Lonchura striata (white-rumped munia)
Lineage: Eukaryota; Metazoa; Chordata; Aves; Passeriformes; Estrildidae
Description: domestica (Bengalese finch) lncRNA (ENSLSDG00000002784.1)
Source: RNAcentral